ACAACUUUUUCAAUCCUGAUCCUAAAACUAUCCAUACAUGGAUUUGUUUUGUUUUGUUUUGUCUUUUGGCUAGAAUGAAGAAUGCUUCCAGGACAACAUAAGCAUAUGUUGAAGAUGGAGAAGUCACACAAUGCAAGGAGCCUUAGUCCCUAAAUCACUAUUCUCUGGAGGGGAGCAACCUCACCAGAAUACCAUUUUGGAUUAUGAGGAAGCUAACCCAGCAAAACAGGUGUCCCAGGUUCCUCAACUAUUUAGAUGCUGGGUACACUUGGCCAAUGAGAGGCCUGGUGGAAGACUACAGAAUGAAGAGAAGGCAGCAACCAUGUUAUUUCACCCCCUUCCUCCUUGAAUCUGAUAGGGGCAGAGUAACAAGCGGAAGCCAGGUCCCCUCCCUGGCUUGAGCUUUUACUGCGUAGACCCUUUCUACAGUCUCGGUUCCUACUAUUCUAUCCCCUUAAGUCAUCCCAAACUUUGAUAAUGCCAAGUUUUCCAUUUGGAUUGCCUCACCAUAUUCUGUUUGGACUUUAACAUUUGAAUUUGUAAAUAGCUCAACAUGUUAUUACCUCUUUAUUGAGCUACUUUGCAUGAGUUUUGUUUAUCUGACUAAAGUCUUACUCCUAAUACUAUUGUUACAUUCUGAAGACUUGAUUUAGCAAAUUUAUAAAUUUGUUCUGUUUUAGUAGCAUAUUUGUUAGAAAUAGUAACUUAU
Long non-coding RNA from Papio anubis (olive baboon), 709 nucleotides. Lineage: Eukaryota; Metazoa; Chordata; Mammalia; Primates; Cercopithecidae. The record is from Ensembl.